GUGCUCACUUCAGCAGUACAUAUACUAAAAUUGAAAUGAUACAGAGAUUAGCAUGGUCCCUGAACAAGGAUGACAGGCAAAUUCGUGAAGCAUUCCAUAUUAAA
Lynx canadensis (Canada lynx) is the source of this 104-nucleotide small nuclear RNA. Lineage: Eukaryota; Metazoa; Chordata; Mammalia; Carnivora; Felidae. The record is from Ensembl.